UUUUUAACACUUGAAUAUAAAUUUAUUGCACUAAAGCUGUUAACAAUGACCUUACCGCUACAGCUUUAACUGUAAGGUACCCUGAAAUAGUUAGUAUCUAUAAGAACAGGGUUUCAUAUAGAUAAGUAUUUUUUCUUAAAUUUUAUAUUAGUAUAUUACAAUUAAAUACAAUGUUCAAUAAUAAUGUAAUACAAUUCAGUACCCUGAUCUGAAAUAAAUGAUAUAUUUUCCUUCUAUACAUGUAAUCAAAUUAAAUAACGCCCAUUUAAUACUCUUAUCCGAAAUUGAAUGUUUGGUGUCAAUUAUCUCGUUUAAAAAUUACAUGAUUUAAGAGUGUGUGACAUCGAUUUUCUUGAUCGGAAGGUUUACCUUGUUUAAAGGUGAGAGAGAGCAUGCUUUUUAAUGGAUGUAUGUUGAAUUAGGCUACUUUACUUCUUUUUUAUUUGGAUUUUAAACAUUUUAGGUGAGUCUUUUCUUUAUUUUUAUUUAUUUAGUUAAAGUGUUCUAGAAAUAUCUUCUUUAAGAGUGUUUUAUUUUGGAGAAAUUAAAGUUUGAAGCACUUGGACUGUAGUAUAUUCUUGUAGAUUGUAGGAUCUUAAGUAUUCGUCCAGUUCAACUUUAAACAGAUUGAAUACAUUAGUAGAUUUAUUUCUCUGAUCGGAUACAUAGUAUGAUUUGUAGAUAGCAAAUCCUAUAAGUGUCAGAAUUAUAUUGAAUCCGAUAUACUCAUUAUCUGUUAUUUUGUAGCCUAUUACAAUGUCUUUUAAGUUAAUGUUUUUGUUAAAAUUCAUUUGAGAUAAGAUUUUAUUAAUGAUUUCCCAAAAUUCUUUUAGAAAUUUACAUUCGAUAAAAAAGUGUUGAUACGUGUCUUUGAGUUGACAAAGUUGACAAAACGGACUAGUUACGAUUUUCCAUUUAUAGAGAUUAUCUCUAUUCGGUAAAAUGCAAGUUAUUAGUUUCCACCUAAACAUUUUAAGUUUAUUAAGUUUUAAAUGUUGGUGUAUAAACUUAAACAUAUAUUUGGUAAAGUCAUAAUUUAUUUCUAAUUCAUUUUUCCAUUUAUUUAUGCCAAUGUUUUGGAGAAAUUUUUUUUUUGAACGAGCAAUUGAUACACGUUUUUGUUGCUUAAAUUUUCAAUUUUAAUGUUUUCUUUGUUUAUAUUGAUAAAUAAUCUGUUAAAAUUUACUUUUGAUUUGAUGGAUUCUUCUGUAGCUAAAAUUUUUAGCCAUGAGGUUGGAAUUGAGUUUUUUACUUUUGAAAUUUCUGCUAUCCAAUUUUUAGUGUUUCGCAGUUUUCUAAAUAUUUUAUCUUGGGCAAUUUUUCCAUUAUCGUCAAUAAUAUCGUUAAUGUAAAUAAAAUCACUGUGUAUCCAGUUAUGCAUAAUAAGCGGCUUGUUUUGAAAUUUUAUAAAUUUAUUACCCCAGAUAACUUGCUUUCUUAUUUCGACAAAGUUUUUCAAUUCUGUGAUGUUCGUUUCAUGAAAUAAAAUCCAACUUUUUAUUAUUUCUAAGUAAAAUUCUGGAAUGUCCUUAGUUAUGUAAUCUAGUUUUUUUAAAGUUUGGUUGUUUAAAUUCAUUCUAAAAAUGAGGAAAUUAGAACCUAAUUUACUUAAAAAUAAUUUUGGUAUCAAUGUCCAAUUUUCUUGUUUUGCCUGUAGCAAUCUAGAGACCCAUCUUAUUUGAAGAGAGGAGAAAUAGCUUUUUAUGUCGGUCAUUUUUAAGCCCUCCCUGGUUAUAAUCUGCUACCAAAGUAUGUCUUUUAACUUUGUCUUUCUUAUUGUUCCAUAUAAAACCAAAAAUUUCUCUUUCUAUAUCAACUAUUUUUGAGUUACUUAAAGCUGUAACAUUUGCUAAAAAAGUAAAUUGUGGUAUAAUGAGAGUUUUAACUAUUAGAAUUUUGCCUAAAAUGGUUAAGUUUCUUUUUUUCCACGAUGUUAUCAGGUUUCGACUCUUUUCAAAUCUUGUAUCCCAAUUUAAUUUUUCACAAUCUUUUUUAUUAAUGCCGAAAUAUAUACCUAGCACUUUUACAGGUUUGUCCGUGAAUUUAAUUUCAUCUACUUUAUCUCUACAAUGCUUUAGUUUACCAAUCCAAAUUCCUUCCGUUUUAUUUUUGUUUAGUUGUAAUCCAGAAAAAGUUCCAAAAAUUUCGAUUAUAUUUAAUGCUGUUCGGAUUUCUUCUUUAGAUUUUAGGAAUAGAGUUGUAUCAUCAGCCACUUGCGUGAUUUUUAAGCAAUGUGUUUUACUAUCAAUUUUUAAUUCUAUGCCUGUUAUAUUUUUGUUUUGCCUUAGUUGGUUAGCCAUUAUUUCUACUGACAUUACGAAAAGUAUAGAAGAGCACGGGCAUCCCUGUCGGAUACCUCUUAGGGGUCUAAAGGGGGCAGAUAUCCAACCGUUAUUAAAUAUAGAACUAUAUUUGUAUACAAGGUUUUUAUCCAGUUUAUGAAGGGUUUAUUAAAACCAAAAUAUUCUAAAGUAUGAUACAUAAAAUUCCAUUCUAAUGUGUCGAAAGCUUUCGAAAAAUCUAUGAAUAAAAUUGCUCCUUCUAUAUUAAACUUAUCUGCGUAAUCUAUAACAUCUUGUAUUUGGCGUAAAUUAAAACCUAUAAAUCGGUUCUUUAUGUAACCGGUUUGAUCGGCAUUAAUGAUUAAAUUUAAGAUUUUUUUUAUUCUUAAAGCUAGAGUGUAUGAAAGUAUUUUGUAAUCACUAUUUAAUAAUGAUAUUGGUCUAUAAUUUGCAAGUUCUAAAGGAUCAUUUUUUUUAUAAAUUAGAUUCAGUAAACUUUGUCUUUGCGUAAAUGGCAGAUAUUUAUUUUCAAAGCUAAAAUUAAAAAUUUUUACAAGCAUCGGUCCGAGAAGUUCCCAAAACUUUUUAUAAAAGUUUAUACUUAUUCCGUCCAUACCAGGACUUUUGUUUAUCUUUAGAUUAUUGACUGCAAUGGUUAAUUCUUCUAGAGUUACAUUUCCAUCACAAGACUUACUUUCUUCUUCUGACAGUUUAUAAUUACGUUUUGUUUCAGAAAUGUAUUUUUUAACAUCUAUAUCCGGUUUUUGUUUAGUGUCGUAUAGAUUAGCAUAAAAAUCUCUUUCAAGCUUUAAUAUUUCAUCUUGAUCUGUUACUAUAUCACCCUUAUCGUUUUUUAGUUUAAGUAUUGUCUUUUUCGUUUGUUUAGAUUUUUCAAGACCUAGGAAAUAUGCAUUAUUUUUUUCUCCCUUUUCUACCCACUCUUGUCUUGAUCUUAUUUGAGCUCCUUUUGCUUUGUAUUCAUAUUGAUUUUCUAGCUCUUUCUCUAAAGUGGAUAUUGUUUCUUUAAUAAAAUCAUUAUCUUCAUUAUUAGAUUUUUCAUAUAAUAUUUUUAAUUGUAGUUCUAAAUUACGCGUUACAUUUUUUCUUAGUUUAGCUUUACUUUUACUAUACUGAAUACUGUAUUCCUUUAUUUCCAACUUGAGGGAGUCCCACAGAAGUCUAGGAUCUAUUUCAUUUUUUCCUAUCUCAUUACUUUGUUUUUGUAUAAUUUGAUUUAUUUUGUCUUCGUAUUCUUGCUCGUCGAGAAUACCGUUGUUAAUUUUCCAGUAUCCCGGGCCUCUUGUUUCAGAUGAUACAGAUUGUAAUUGUAUUGAUACUGCUUGGUGAUCAGUACUUUUAAUAAGAAUAGGCCUAAUAUCACAUGACUUUACGUUUAACACAAAGUCUUUUUUAACAAGGAACAUGUCAAUUCUACUAGACUGGACUGGAUUUUUACGUCUCCAUGUGUAUUGGAUCUUUUGAGGGUUAACGUAUCUCCAUAUAUCUAUGAGAUCAUUUGAUUUAAUUAAAUUUUUUAGGCUAUUAACUGGUUUACUUACUUUUUUACGAAUAUUUGAGCUUUUCCUAUCUUCAUUUUUAAGGGCAUCGUUCAUGUCUCCUCCUAAAAUUAUUGUACCUAUUGCGUUUUUGUUUAAAAAAGUCAUUUUAAUUUUUAUAGAAGCUAUUUCGUUCAGAUUCUAUAUUUGGGGCAUAUAUGUUUAUAAGAGAAUAUAUUAUAUUUUCAAAUUCAAUAUUUAUCAUAAUUAUUCGACCUUCUAAAUCUUUAUGCUCGUCUAUUAAUUUAUAGUCUAGUUUGUUAUUAAUUAAUAUUGCAACUCCUCUGCUGGAAGUCGUUCCGUGACUAUAGUAGCAAGAAUGAUCUGAUUCUAUUGUUAGGGCAUUUUCUAGGGAUGUAUUGAAAUGAGUUUCUUGAAUAAAAGUUAUUUUACAUUUCUGAUUUUUUAUCCAUUGAUAAAAUCUCAAUCUCUUUUGUUUAUCUCGAAGUCCUUUAACAUUUGCUGUACAAAUGUGUAGGUUAUUUAGCAUAUUUUGAUUAAAAGUUGUUCGAUUUGUUUAAUACCUUUACUUAGUGAGCGUACAUCACGUUUUAGUGGCAUUUUUAAGGUAAACUUUAUUUCUCCUAGUUUUGAUCGUAUUUUUUUUAACGUGGGAGUUACCUGUGAAAAUAAUUAUGUUAACCAAUUUUCUUUUUUGUAAUUGGAUUAUAACAAUAUUGUUAUAGUCUGUUUCACGAUUGUGUUUUGACCGAUAUUUAGAUGUUAAUUUUGAAACAGCAUAUAAAACAUACUCAUACACAAUUACUAUAUAUAUGAAAUAUAUAAAACACAAUGUAUACAAAACUAUAAUAACUGAAAUUACAAAAUAAUACAUGUUUUGCUGAUUACAAACUAGAACAAAUGUAUGGUUUUGACAGUGAAAAAAUGAUAAUCUCUUUCUAGUUUUCCAAUUUCGUAAUGUGUAAAUAAUGUCAAAUCUAUGAUACUCUAGUAAAGUACUGCUUUUUUUUUGAUGUUUUGUUUUCCGUAACAUUUUGACAGUGUUUAUUUAAUUUUUUCUUAAUAUUUUCCUUUUUUCUAUUUUCAGUUACCUUAUAUGAUUUACGGUGUUCAGAUGUUCUAAGAAGAGAUGUUAAUAUGGUAGGUAAAUCUUUUCUUUUGAUUUGAUAUUUU
This 4972-nucleotide long non-coding RNA is filed under the name Mytilus galloprovincialis (Mediterranean mussel). The record is from RNAcentral. Lineage: Eukaryota; Metazoa; Mollusca; Bivalvia; Mytilida; Mytilidae.